AGGACGAACGCUGGCGGCGUGCUUAACACAUGCAAGUCGAGCGGAAAGGCCCUUCGGGGUACUCGAGCGGCGAACGGGUGAGUAACACGUGAGUAAUCUGCCCCUAGCUCUGGGAUAGCUCCGGGAAACCGGGAUUAAUACCGGAUACGACCACCUUAGACAUCUUUUGUGGUGGAAAGAAUUUCGGCUAGGGAUGAGCUCGCGGCCUAUCAGCUUGUUGGUGGGGUAGCGGCCUACCAAGGCGACGACGGGUA
RNAcentral lists this ribosomal RNA (254 nucleotides) under uncultured bacterium. Its description in RNAcentral is "partial small subunit ribosomal RNA". It matches the Rfam family "Bacterial small subunit ribosomal RNA", at positions 26 to 285 of the family's 1533-position model. The record is from RNAcentral.